UGAAGAGACAGAGGAAGAAUAAAGGAGU
Molecule: non-coding RNA, 28 nt
Filed under: Rattus norvegicus (Norway rat)
Lineage: Eukaryota; Metazoa; Chordata; Mammalia; Rodentia; Muridae
Source: RNAcentral